This 66-nucleotide transfer RNA is filed under the name Ictidomys tridecemlineatus (thirteen-lined ground squirrel). RNAcentral describes it as "Spermophilus tridecemlineatus (thirteen-lined ground squirrel) tRNA". It matches the Rfam family "tRNA". From Rfam's summary of the family: Transfer RNA (tRNA) molecules are approximately 80 nucleotides in length. Their secondary structure includes four short double-helical elements and three loops (D, anti-codon, and T loops). Lineage: Eukaryota; Metazoa; Chordata; Mammalia; Rodentia; Sciuridae. The record is from Rfam by way of RNAcentral.
GGUGUAGCUCAGUGGCAGAGCACUUGCCUUGAAUGCAUGAAGACCUGGGUUCAAUCCCCAGAACCA